RNAcentral lists this small RNA (389 nucleotides) under Pan troglodytes (chimpanzee). RNAcentral's name for it is "processed transcript". The record is from RNAcentral. Lineage: Eukaryota; Metazoa; Chordata; Mammalia; Primates; Hominidae.
GGGAGCAAUUUAUAGGAAAGACAUCGGCUUUCGUGCCAUAGCUUUCCUCCAGCAGCCCAGGAGUUUGACUUACAAGGAAUCUGGAGUAGAUAUCGCAGCUGGAAAUAUGCUGGUCAAGAAAAUUCAGCCUUUAGCAAAAGCCACUUCCAGAUCAGGCUGUAAAGUUGAUCUUGGAGGUUUUGCUGGUCUUUUUGAUUUAAAAGCAGCUGGUUUCAAAGAUCCCCUUCUGGCCUCUGGAACAGAUGGCGUUGGAACUAAACUAAAGGUGUUAAGAGCAGCUAGCCAAAUGGAUAAGAUACAAUUUUGAACUUAUUCCCUAAUGUGGAUGUUUAUAUUGUUCUUACAUAGAUUGCCCAGCUAUGCAAUAAACAUGAUACCAUUGGUCAAGA